GACCGCGUAGCUCAGUUGGCAGAGCAUUGGGCUAGUAUUCCAAAGGUCGUAGGUUCGAUUCCCACCGCCGGCC
Non-coding RNA from Paramuricea clavata, 73 nucleotides. NCBI's taxonomy places the organism in Eukaryota, Metazoa, Cnidaria, Anthozoa, Malacalcyonacea, Plexauridae. The record is from the annotation of a GenBank genome assembly.